UACGGGGGGCGCGAGCGUUAAUCGGAAUUACUGGGCGUAAAGCGCGCGUAGGCUGUUGUGUAAGUUGGGGGUGAAAUCCCACGGCUCAACCGUGGAACAGCCCUUGAUACUGCGCGACUUGAAUCCGGGAGAGGGUGGCGGAAUUCCAGGUGUAGGAGUGAAAUCCGUAGAUAUCUGGAGGAACAUCAGUGGCGAAGGCGGCCACCUGGACCGGUAUUGACGCUGAGGCGCGAAAGCGUGGGGAGCAAACAGG
Molecule: ribosomal RNA, 253 nt
Filed under: uncultured bacterium
Lineage: Bacteria
Description: partial 16S ribosomal RNA
Rfam family: Bacterial small subunit ribosomal RNA
Source: RNAcentral